UCCUGGAUUCUGCUGCACUGAGAGUAAACUUACAAAUAACAGAAUCAGCAGGCUACAGUGCACAGCAAAAGAAAGUAGCUGCAUUGUCUUCCCAGGGUGAGGGCAGCAUUCUCAGUUCUAAGGCUCAAGCUGAAUAACUGCUUUCAGGGGACCAAGCAGAGCGUCCUUUCCUCCAGUUUCUACUGCAUCUAGACAAUGUCACUCUUGUUGGAACACAGUGUUCAAAAGAUACCAAGAAAUCGCGCUCUGAUCCUCCUACUUGGAUUUUAAUGGAUUCCAUAACCUGAGACAAGGUUAAAUAUAUGAAGAUGUUCUUUUAAUCAAUGAGGGGCUAAAAGAGAGUCCAUAAUGUAUCUGAGAAGAGAAAUGCUGUGAUGGCCAAUGGAAAAGUCUGCUUCCUUAUAAAGGGAGUCAUGAGAUGCCGCGUCCAUUCCCUCAGCUGUGGAGGUGGAACGUGGACAGGAGUCCCGUAGGAAGGGACACGAGCGUGACAAAUGAGCGCUUUUCUGUGACAAAGGUGAAACAGCACAGUUAUAAGUUGUAAAACAUUGUGUGCAUUAUCUUAACUGUAAGAAAUACUUUUUCUCAAACAUCUCAGCAAAAUAUGCAAACACUGCUAUCAGGAAAGGAAAACGAGGAAGAGAAAAUCCAUCUUCCAUGAAAUCGCAUUUGUUGUAACAGAAUGCGACUCAAGUAACAUGAACGCUGAUCAACACAAACUCAAGGUAUUGAAAUAAAUUCUUACUGAUUACUGCAUAAUAUAUUUGUCCCAUUAAAAAUUAAGCCCUGAAAAAAGCUCACUAAAUAAAAGUUUAGUUUUUGCUUCUGAAAAUAAAAGAGAUGAAAUAAA
Cavia porcellus (domestic guinea pig) is the source of this 850-nucleotide long non-coding RNA. RefSeq lists it as uncharacterized. The transcript has 3 exons. Lineage: Eukaryota; Metazoa; Chordata; Mammalia; Rodentia; Caviidae. The record is from RefSeq and is a predicted model, not a curated record.